Hydra vulgaris (swiftwater hydra) is the source of this 469-nucleotide non-coding RNA. The record is from RefSeq and is a predicted model, not a curated record. NCBI's taxonomy places the organism in Eukaryota, Metazoa, Cnidaria, Hydrozoa, Anthoathecata, Hydridae.
UUAGUAUGUUGCAAAUAUUUUUAUAUAUUUUGUUUUAGUAUGUAUGCUUUAAACAUUCUGCAACUUUGAUAACAAAAAUCCAUUCCACAGAGUUUAUUUGUGAUAAUUAUUGCCAACACAUAAAUGUAGCAAAUAUUAAUGAAGCUAUGGCAUCAAAUGUAAUGUCAACACGAAAAUGCUCAAAUCUCAAGUCAAAUGGUUUAUCAAAGUCUGAGUCUGCUGUGAAUUCAAUUAAAUGUCAUGAAAUGUCAAAUCUCAAGACAUAAAAGUUUUAAUGGAGUUUUGGUCCAUAAUAAUCCAAGUACCACAUGUUUUAAUAAAUAUAUUUUUAAAACGGAUGCAAGCACUUAAGAAAAUAAUUAUCUUACAAAUUGAAGUAGAAGUUUAUAACGAAUCUUGUUGACGGUUAGAUACGAAUUGCAGAAAAGCAUCUUUUUCGAAUGGUUAUGAAUUAAUUAUUUGUAUAAUA